UGCUAUGAAAUCGAGUUCGAUCAAAUAUCCAAAGCAUUUUAACAAGAGCUCAUCUCGAGAUUUGAAUUUUAAACAUUUUUUGGGCGUGAAGGAUAUUUGUUUCAAACAUGAAUUUGUUUAUUAUUGGUGUUAUUCUUUUUGCGCUAUUGAUCACUGUAAUCAAAGUGUCUGCAGUACCUAAACCACAGUUCUUUGGAUUCCCAUCUUACGGGUAUAAUAGAGGCGGAUAUGGAUAUAAUCGUGGGCAUUACGGUGGCUACCACGGUCGUCGUCGCGGAUCAGGAGGAUACGGAGGGUACUCGGGCUACGGCUCCGAUUAAAUACUCCAUCUUCUGAAUAAUAUUUUAAACUUACUGAAAAUUGCUUUGUUUUUCCAUAUGUUAUUUUUUAAAGUCAAUAAAAUACCAUAUGAUUGAUUAUGUCAGGCAAAAAUCUUCAUCAACGCAA
This is a long non-coding RNA of Contarinia nasturtii (swede midge), 447 nucleotides long. RefSeq lists it as uncharacterized. Lineage: Eukaryota; Metazoa; Arthropoda; Insecta; Diptera; Cecidomyiidae. The transcript has 3 exons. The record is from RefSeq and is a predicted model, not a curated record.